CAUUCAAAGAGCAGGACCAACAGGGAUUGCCCUAGUAACGGCGAGUGAAGCGGCAACAGCUCAAAUUUGAAAUCUGGCGUCUUUGGCGUCCGAGUUGUAAUUUGCAGAGGGCGCUUUGGCAUUGGCAGCGGUCCAAGUUCCUUGGAACAGGACGUCACAGAGGGUGAGAAUCCCGUACGUGGUCGCUAGCCUUUACCGUGUAAAGCCCCUUCGACGAGUCGAGUUGUUUGGGAAUGCAGCUCUAAAUGGGAGGUAAAUUUCUUCUAAAGCUAAAUACUGGCCAGAGACCGAUAGCGCACAAGUAGAGUGAUCGAAAGAUGAAAAGCACUUUGGAAAGAGAGUUAAAAAGCACGUGAAAUUGUUGAAAGGGAAGCGCUUGCAGCCAGACUUGCCUGUAGUUGCUCAUCCGGGUUUCUACCCGGUGCACUCUUCUAUAGGCAGGCCAGCAUCAGUUUGGGCGGUUGGAUAAAGGUCUCUGUCAUGUACCUCCUUUCGGGGAGAACUUAUAGGGGAGACGACAUGCAACCAGCCCGGACUGAGGUCCGCGCAUCUGCUAGGAUGCUGGCGUAAUGGCUGUAAGCGGCCCGUCUUGAAACACGGACCAAGGAGUCUAACAUCUAUGCGAGUGUUUGGGUGUCAAGCCCGAGCGCGUAAUGAAAGUGAACGGAGGUGGGAACCUUUCGGGGUGCACCAUCGACCGAUCCUGAUGUCUUCGGAUGGAUUUGAGUAAGAGCAUAGCUGUUGGGACCCGAAAGAUGGUGAACUAUGCUUGAAUAGGGUGAAGCCAGAGGAAACUCUGGUGGAGGCUCGCAGCGGUUCUGACGUGCAAAUCGAUCGUCAAAUUUGGGCAUAGGGGCGAAAGACUAAUCGAACUAUCUAGUAGCUGGUUCCUGCCGAAGUUUCCCCUCAGGAUAGCAGUAACGUUUU
This 927-nucleotide ribosomal RNA is filed under the name Leptosphaerulina trifolii. Its description in RNAcentral is "partial large subunit ribosomal RNA". It matches the Rfam family "Eukaryotic large subunit ribosomal RNA", at positions 44 to 993 of the family's 3401-position model. The record is from RNAcentral. Lineage: Eukaryota; Fungi; Ascomycota; Dothideomycetes; Pleosporales; Didymellaceae.